UGCAAGUCUAAGAAUGAGGGAUCUCUCGAAUCUGCGAAAGGCUCCGUAUAUCUGUUCUAACCCGCCGCCCGCCAUAGGGACUAUUAGGCGGAUACCCCCGGUAAUUCUGAGGUUAAUACGUGAUGCGCCAGGCGGGCUCCGAGGGAUCGGGGCCCGCCCCAGGCUAGGACGAUGCGACGCCGGGGCAGUGCUCAAAUUGCGGCCUCCGAGGCCGGGCUCUCGCGGGGUGUAGUGUUCGGUGGUGCUCAGGAAUGUACAGCCGGCGUCCCCCGUGAUCCCCCCGGGCAAAAGCGUGAUGGAGUCCUUGAGUUUACUGGACCGCCCCCUCGGGGGCGGCUGGGCGGCGGGGGCCAGACCUAUCAACUAGACGGCCAGGGAUCGCCUGGCCGUGGUGAUAACGGGUACAGAGGAUCAGGGUUCGAUCCUGGAGAGGUAGCCUGAGAGAUCGCUACUACUUCUAAGGAAGGCAGCAGGCGCGCAACGUUCCCAAUGGGGAUACCCUGAGGACGUGAAGGGACAUAUUAAUGCCCGGCCCUUAAAGCCGGGCAAUUGACAUGGGGGAUCGCUAAACCUCCCACCGAGUAACAAUUA
RNAcentral lists this ribosomal RNA (591 nucleotides) under Perichaena chrysosperma. RNAcentral describes it as "bacterial SSU rRNA". It matches the Rfam family "Eukaryotic small subunit ribosomal RNA", at positions 52 to 550 of the family's 1831-position model. The record is from RNAcentral. Lineage: Eukaryota; Evosea; Eumycetozoa; Trichiida; Trichiidae.